GACGAACGCUGGCGGCGUGCUUAACACAUGCAAGUCGAACGGAAAGGCCCUGCUUUUGUGGGGUGCUCGAGUGGCGAACGGGUGAGUAACACGAGAGUAACCUGCCCUUGACUUUGGGAUAACUUCAGGAAACUGGGGCUAAUACCGGAUAGGAGCCCCUGCUGCAUGGUGGGGGUUGGAAAGUUUCGGCGGUUGGGGAUGGACUCGCGGCUUAUCAGCUUGUUGGUGGGGUAGUGGCUUACCAAGGCUUUGACGGGUAGCCGGCCUGAGAGGGUGACCGGCCACAUUGGGACUGAGGUACGGCCCAGACUCCUACGGGGGGCAGCAGUGGGGAAUAUUGCACAAUGGGCGGAAGCCUGAGGCAGCAACGCCGCGGGCGGGAUGACGGCCUUCGGGUUGUGAACCGCUUUCGCCUGUGACGAAGCGUGAGUGACGGUAAUGGGUAAAGAAGCACCGGCUAGCUACGUG
Molecule: ribosomal RNA, 468 nt
Filed under: uncultured bacterium
Lineage: Bacteria
Description: partial 16S ribosomal RNA
Rfam family: Bacterial small subunit ribosomal RNA
Source: RNAcentral